This is a long non-coding RNA of Polypterus senegalus (gray bichir), 222 nucleotides long. RefSeq lists it as uncharacterized. The transcript has 3 exons. Lineage: Eukaryota; Metazoa; Chordata; Cladistia; Polypteriformes; Polypteridae. The record is from RefSeq and is a predicted model, not a curated record.
GAUGGCCCUUACACAGAACUAUGCACGGCCUAUUAUUGAGGGGAUUGAGGGAGGAACAUCCUCAGAUGUUCUUCCUUCUAGUAAUGUGCAAUCAUAUGUUAAAGUAGUGGAUGGUGUCUUGACCCUCUUGGAUCCUGAACAACAGUCAUUAGAAUCUGUUAUCGCGGGGCCAUCCACGACACAGGAGGAUGAGGAAACUGUUUCUGUUUGCUCAGAAAUGCU